UGAGGAAUAUUGGUCAAUGGGCGAGAGCCUGAACCAGCCAAGUCGCGUGAGGGAAGACGGUCCUACGGAUUGUAAACCUCUUUUGUCGGGAGCAAUAAAAGCGUACGCGUACGCAGAUGCGAGUACCCGAAGAAAAGCAUCAGCUAACUCCGUGCCAGCAGCCGCGGUAAUACGGAGGAUGCGAGCGUUAUCCGGAUUUAUUGGGUUUAAAGGGUGCGCAGGCGGAAAGUGCAAGUCAGCGGUCAAACGACGGGGCUCAACCCGCUCUCCGCCGUUGAAACUGUCUUUCUAGAGUGAGCGAGAAGUAUGCGGAAUGCGUGGUGUAGCGGUGAAAUGCUUAGAUAUCACGCAGAACUCCGAUUGCGAAGGCAGCAUACCGGCGCUCAACUGACGCUCAUGCACGAAAGCGUGGGA
Molecule: ribosomal RNA, 414 nt
Filed under: uncultured Porphyromonadaceae bacterium
Lineage: Bacteria; Pseudomonadati; Bacteroidota; Bacteroidia; Bacteroidales; Porphyromonadaceae
Description: bacterial SSU rRNA
Rfam family: Bacterial small subunit ribosomal RNA
Source: RNAcentral